AUGCAUUGGAAGAAAUUUGUUGUUCAUGACAAGCCUACUAUGGCUCCCUCCCAGCCUAGUACAGAGAGACCUGAAGGUGUGAUUACAUCAAUUAUUUUGGUGCCCAUGCGCUUUGAUGGCAAAGCUGCUCAACACUGGAUGAUUCUGUGGGAUCCAGGUGACUGUUUUUUGGGAGCGUGUGCCAUGGAUGACGUGAAUUUCUCUAUUCGUUCCAAGCAAGCUUGUUUUCAAGGAGGGAGGUGUAUCACCAUCCUCGCCACCUUCGUCGACCACAACUACUACCUCGACGCCGUCCUCAACUUGGUUCCUAUCGACAAUGAUGACUACUCUGACCUUGUUCGAGUUAACUCUGGCCACGGCUGCGGUCAUGAAGGCUACUUCCGCCAUCUAGGCAAGCAAGCUUACUACUCCGGUCAAGUCUACACCGACCUCGGCUUCUAUUCUGAAGACUACCAUGGCAACCCUAGCAAGUUCAAGGGACUUCAAGCGCCGUGGGAUCCCGGCAAGUCAGCAUUUCAGUCUUCUCGAGCUUCGGCUUGGGGUCAAGCCGAGUUUCAAGGAGGGAGGGGUGUUAGCAACCCUCCACGGGUGGGCCUUGGGCCGGCAUGA
This 609-nucleotide ribosomal RNA is filed under the name Triticum aestivum (bread wheat). Its description in RNAcentral is "partial small subunit ribosomal RNA". The record is from RNAcentral. Lineage: Eukaryota; Viridiplantae; Streptophyta; Magnoliopsida; Poales; Poaceae.